Molecule: microRNA precursor, 165 nt
Filed under: Oryza brachyantha (malo sina)
Lineage: Eukaryota; Viridiplantae; Streptophyta; Magnoliopsida; Poales; Poaceae
Description: MIR812 microRNA precursor family
Rfam family: MIR812 microRNA precursor family
Source: Rfam by way of RNAcentral
UACAGUGUUUUGACUCUUCGUCUUAUUUGAAUUUUUUUGCGAUUAAUAUUUUUAUUCUUACUAAAUGAUAAAAUAUGAAUAGUACUUUAUGCUGACUAAUUUUUUUAGAUUUUUGUACAAAAUUUUCAAAUAAGACGAAUGGUCAAACGUUGGACACGGAAAAAC